RNAcentral lists this ribosomal RNA (88 nucleotides) under Actinomycetota bacterium. The record is from RNAcentral. Lineage: Bacteria; Bacillati; Actinomycetota.
UCUUCCCAUUCCGAACAGAGCAGUUAAGCCUCUCAGCGCCGAUGGUACUUGGCCCUCGCGGGCCUGGGAGAGUAGGUCGCCGCCGGUU